This is a small nucleolar RNA of Gossypium raimondii (Peruvian cotton), 107 nucleotides long. It matches the Rfam family "Plant small nucleolar RNA R71". From Rfam's summary of the family: R71 is a member of the C/D box family of snoRNAs containing the C (UGAUGA) and D (CUGA) box motifs. Lineage: Eukaryota; Viridiplantae; Streptophyta; Magnoliopsida; Malvales; Malvaceae. The record is from Rfam.
AACCCAUGAUGAGGGCACCGUCUCAAUAAGUCCUUAUACCUCUCUCAUGCAUCAUAUAGGGUCUUUAAAUCAAUCUGAAUGAAGAAAGAGAUAUCAUUCCUCAACUU